GCACUAAAGCAUAGUGCUAUCAACUUUUUCAUCAUUAAACUUAUCAUUAAAUUUAUCAUAGUGCUAUCCUUCCAUUAUCCUUCAAUUCAUCAUUAAAUUUAUCAAAUUUAUCCUUCAAUUACGGACCGUCCCUAGAGCAAGUGAUAAAGGGCUUGGUGGUUGGUACCCGAGACCCAAGUUCGAAUCCUAGUUGAUUCACAUUUCUAGCUAAGUUUAUUUCUAAAUGAAAUAAAUGAAGCGGGUAGCGUGCUACCUAUCUCUCUCUCAAAAAAAAAAAAAAAUUUAUCCUUCAAUUCUCAGAAGCCCCCUCAGUUCUUGAUUUUGAGCUAACAUGAUAUUAUAACUGGUCUUAAGUCUCUCAGUUCUCGUAGAUUAUGUUACCUUUUCUGUCAAUGCGCGAUGUGGACACCAACGACAACAAUAUGGUAAAAAAUAGGAGCAAUGCUGAUGGUACACCCCAAUUGGGGUGUACUAUUUACACCCCACCCAUCUAUGGAUGGGAAUAUUCUCACAUGUGACUGAUGGACAACACUCCAUGGGUGGGAUGUAUCUUGUACAUCCUGAUUGGGGUGUACAAAAGCAUUUUUCAAAAGAAAAAUGAAAAAAUGCUUCUUAUACACCCUAAUCAGGAUGUACAAGAUACAUCCCACCCAUCGAAAGGUAGGGUAUUGUCCACCAGUCACAUGUGAGAAUAUUUUCAUUUUUUUUCGCCCUCUUAUUUAUAAUGUGGAAAUUUUAGAUAAAAUAGUUAAAUCCGAAAAUUGAAAAAACUAUAGUUUCAAAACCAUGAUUUUUUCUAUUCGUCAAACAGUAUUAAUUUAACUAAAAAUUAUUUUCAAUCCAAAAUUCAACUCGGGCGAAUAAACUAGCCGUCAUGCACAUUAGAUGUGCCCUUUCUUCCCCUCACUUAUCAAACAAUAAUGAAAAAAUUAUUUAUAGACUAAAUUAUAAAAAAUCUUUCUGUAAAUUUUUAUUUUUUUAUUUUUUUCUUCCUGACUUUUCAAAAACCUAUAUUUUGUCCUAUUAAAAUUUAAAAAAUAUUUUUAAAAAUACAGAGUUAAUAAAGAGGGCAAAAUGGCAAAACCGCCCUUACUUCUUUUAUAAAAAUAAUUUCAUCAUCGUCUUAUCUGAAGACAUAAGGCGAGGCCCUAUUUUUGCAAUGGAAGAAGAGAAAGGAGAAUGUAGCGGGCGGGGAGAGGCAGGACAAGGAGAACCAUUAGGGCAUGUUUGUUUGGGUGAAAGUGGGGUGGAAGUGGAGAGAAUGGAAGUCGUUUUCACUCUAAACAAUCACUUCCGUUGUUUGGUUUGCUGUAAAAUAGUUGCGGUCGAAACUCAAGUUAACCUCAAAUGGCAUAAUUGACUUCACCUCAUCGUAUGCCGAAGUCAAUUACGGUGAAGAGAGGUAAAGAAAAAAUAAUAAAAUAAUAUUAUAGAUAAAAAUAGUUAUAUUUAAAUAUAUUUAAUUAUGUUAUUAACUUUUUUUAUUCAGUUAAUAUAUCUAAAAUAUGAUAAAAAUUGAUUAGUUAAAGUUUUAAUAUUUUCUUUAUUUAGUUUGUACAUUAAAAAUAUUAUAAAAAAUAAUUAAUUAAGUAUUAAUAUUUUUUUAUAAUUUUAUUGUUGUAUUACUAUAAUUUAUAUAUAUAAAAUAAUUUAGCUGUUUUAAAUUAAAUUUUAAUUAUAUAAAAAUAUAAUUAUAUUCUUUUUAUUUAUUAUAAUAUUUAUUAUUUAUAUAUAAAUUAUAGUUUUAUAUCAUACACUUACUACCAAACAAACAACAGAAUUAAUGCAACUUCACUUCCGUAACUACGAAACAAAAAGCAGGAAAGUAGUUUUCACCGAACUCCACUUCAACCGAAAGUCCAGUUUCAGUAAAACAAACACGCCUAAAAGUGGUGUGAAGCAGAAAGAGAAUAUUUUAUCAUUUUAAAAGUUAUUUUCAGUAUAAAUUAUAGAAAAUAAACAGAAUAGUGAUAAAAUUCUGACGGAGAAUAAGAAGAGAAAGUAAAAAAAUAAAUACUUAUAAGAAAAUUUUCUAUAACCUAGCUUAAUUUACAUCGAAAUUUUAUUUUAACUGAAAGUUAUUUUCAAUCUGAAAUUCAAUUAAAGAUCACAAUCAAACCGACGGUCAUGUGCGUUAGAUGUGCCCACUCUUAGCCUCAUUUAUUGCUUAAUCAAUUAUUGCUGAUGCGGCGCAACGCUGCUGCUGCAUUCAUGAUAGAUCAGAUCAGUGUCAGAUCUUUCUGCCUGUACUUCUCAUGUUUGAAAUCCACCUGCAAUAAGAUAAUGGGUGCUCACAGUCAAUGUUCUUAACCACCAAAAUCUCAGAUUUGGUUUUAAAGUGAGGCUCAGUUUGGUAUUACAAAAAAAAAAAAAAAUUGUGUUACAUUUAGUUAUAAAAAAAAUACAAUAAAAAAAUAUUCUAUUUAUUUUUAUAUAUCGUAUCAUACGAUAUAUUUUUUGUUGUUCCAUCGAAAAACGCAGAAACAUAUUAUAUCCACUUUUGUCCUAAUUCUGUUUCACAUAUCAAUGUUAGAUGUGUCGCAAUAUCAAAUGGCUCCUAAGUCGAGUGGAGUUCUUUAGCGACUCACUCACUUAAAAACUCAUCAUCAAAUUUUAUAGGAUAGAUUGCACAUUUGGUCCUCAAAUUGUGAGGCGGGUGACACUUUGGUCUUUAAACUUUAAUUUUGUAUAAUUUUUUACUAAUUUAGUGUCGCCUCGUUGAUAUAAAAUUAAGUGACUUAUAUAGCAUCGUAAUAUUGGCGCAUUAUCAAUCAAAACACUACUACAUCACUUCUAUAUGAACGACAUAUCAAUAUUUUAUUAAAUUGAUUGGAUUACAAGCGUUGAUUAUAAUAAGGUACGCCGCACAUACCGUGGCAAAGGCGAGAAGAGAGAGAGAGAAAGAAAGAUCGAAUUUUAUAAGAAUAAACUUAUAAAGACAAAAUAAUCAUUUUACUUGCCCACCGUUAAAAAAACUAGGGAAAACUUCAAAAACCCUCCCUGUGAUUUCGUAGUUUCUCACUUUGCCCCCUGUGGUUUAAAAUGUAUCAAUUUGCCCCCCUGUGAUUUUUUUUUUCUCUUUUUCUUAUCAAUUUCAUUAUUUUUUUUCUUAAAUCAGUGAUAAAGUUAAUUUAAAGGGUACUAAAGUGAAUAUUUGAUAAAUCUAGAUGGGUACCUGAAGUUUUUUGUAUAUAAUUUAAUGAAAUAUUAACGAAAAAGCUACCGAAAAGAUAAAAACGAAACCACAGGGGGGCAAUUUGAUACAUUUUAAACCACAGGGGAUAAAGUGAGAAACUAUGAAACCACAUGGAGUUUUUUUUGAAAUUUUCCCAAAAAACUAACGAUCAAUCAAACAAUGUGGAUAUAUAUGAACAUGCCAAAAUUUUUGGAGAAAUAUAUUUACAAACCAAAAUAUUUUCGAAAGAAUAAAUUUGAUAACUUAAUUAAGCUUUAUAGAAAUAUAUAUUUGUUACUUGAUAUCUUAAUUUGUAGGAAGAUAUAUAAUUUUUUUUUUUUUUUGAGAGAUAGGUAGCACGCUAUCCGCUUCGUUUAUUUCAUUUAUAAAUAAACUUAGCUGAAAAUGUGAAUCAACUAGUAUUCAAACUUGGGUCUCGGGUACCAACCACCAAGCCCUUUGUCACUUGCUAUAGGGACAGUUAGUGAAGAUAUAUAAAAUUAAUCCUAAAAUAUAACUAUUAGACCUAUAGAAACAUAAGCAAGUAGAUAUAGGUUGUUAGCAUGUGAGUAGAACAUGUACAUGCCCAUUGGAACCAAGCAAAAGGGCAAAAAUAAAAUCUUUGGAUGAGACAAAAGAAUGAGUGACACACCACAUGGGCCAUGACAGCUAUGUUUUUGUAUAUGAUGAACUUCUCUCCCUUUCAAAAUCCAGCUAUUAUUUCCACCUCACUCUCCACAUGGCAUUUAUUUUUUUAUUUUUUGGGCAGUGUGAUUGUAAUGAGAAGCAACAUAUAAUUCACACUAUAAUUGAGUCUACAUGCAUCUUUUUAAUUCUAGAAUUUAGGCUAAAUUAUACUUUUUGGUCAUCGAAAAAGUACGAGCACCAGGACGCUCUUGUCCUCAAACUUUAAUUCGUUAUAAUUUGUAACUCGAGUUUUUUGAAUUAUUAUGUAAUCAAGUUUUACAGUUCAAUUUAGUUAGCUAAAUACUAACAAUUUAUUGAUAUGAAAAUAAUAUCAAAGUAUUGUGAUUGAUGAUAUAAUAAUAAUUAAGAUUCUUUUUAUCACUUCUAGAUUAAUAGUUUGUUAAUAUUUAGCUAACUAAAUUAGAUUGUAAGACUUGAUUACAACUAUUCAGAAAAUUUGAGUCAGAAAUUAUAAUAAAUUAAAAUUUGAGGGCUAAUUGUCACGAUCCUCAUCGUUUGAGGGUCAAAAGUGUUAUUUGUUCUAGAAUUUAUAAAACUCUCUUGUAUUUCCGGUAAACGAAAAAAAUAGCGGAUAAGAUUAGUGGUGUAAAUUUUAUACAUAAUUUAUAGAUGGACAGAUAAGGUUGCUUUAAUUUAAUUAGUAUAUAGAAAAAAAAAGUUAUAAAACUAGCACAUAAAUAUUAGUCUUUGGAUCAUUAAAGUGUAAAAUUUAGGGCCAAUUUUUAGGAUUUCCAGGAACCAUUAAUGGAAACUAUAUAUAUACAUACAUCAUCAUCAACACUUGUAGAUUGAGAUGAACACAUUUAUGAGUCAUCACACUUAUCAUGGUGUUGUGAUUAUUAAUUUAUUUGUAUAGGGUGGGUCACAUGCAUGAAAAUGACUACUUUGAAGGAAUUGAUUCCUAAACUAGGGAGACCUACUCUUACCUUAUUUCACAAGGUCUAUUUGGCUUCAUAGGAGGUUCUACAUAAUUUAAGACUAUUUUUAAAUUAUUAUUUUUGAAAAUAAAUUGUAGUAAUAUAUAUUAUAACAUCAAAGUGGAUCUUAAAUCCUUUUUAUUUUGUGAGGUCAUAAUUCAAUUAGCAAUGUUGCCUGUACAAUUAUUUUACAUAUUAUAAAUUUUGUAGGAAUAAUUAUCUAUAUACCUCUCAAAACUUUAAAAAUAUCUAAUUUAUCCUUUUUUUGUUUUCAGUAUACCCUUCAUAUGUUUCACUAUUAUUCAAAAAUACUCCAAUAGUUACAACCCGUUAAAUUAUCUCGGGUUAAACGUGAGUUAAAUAUCUACCUGCAGAGUUAAAAAAAAAUUAAAAUAGCUUUUUUGCCCUUAACUUAGCGGCAAAUAAGAAAAAUUGGUGAUAGUAGAAGGGUAUAUUAAAAAGAUCAAAAAUUAAAAUACUUCUUUUGUCUCUAACUUAAGGACAAAAUAAAAAAAAGUUGGCAAUGGUAGAAAAGAUAUAUUGGAAAGGACAAAAUAAUAAUUUUACAGAGAUAAUGACUAUUGAUAAUAGUUCAUUAACAGAAUUUAACUCCAUGGUAUAUUUGAAAUAACUUGGAAUGUAAGAAGAGUAUUUUUAAUAUUAGCCUUUUAAGAGGGAUAAAUUAGAAAGUUAAAAUCUUUUCAGGGGUAUACAAACAAUUAUCCCAAUUUUAUACAUUAGCCUCUCAAACGCUAAGAUUAAUUUACUCACUAAUUUUAUUUAUCUUUAUUCUACUACUAAAAAUCUAAAAAAAAAAGUUAAAUUCUUGAACGACGGGGUGUAAGAAGUGUAGGGUGUACAGAUAGUAUUUCUCUAGCUAGUUCAAUUCACUACGCCUAUAAACACGUCGCUUUUUUUAUUUUUAAAAUUCGCUUGCUUUCAAUUCAACCAUUUAUUAAUUUUAAAAAAGAGAAUUUUGAAUGAAAAGCAUGAAAUUCACCUCGUCCAAUAUUUAUUUUGCUUUUCGAGUAUAAUAUAUUUAAUUUUCUAGUAAAACUAUUAUAUUUAAUUACUUGUUUUUUAACACUUCGAUUCGAUAGAGAGAAAAGAAGAAAAAAAAAAUCAUCUCCUUCCUGUUUGUAUCAAGAUUUGAGCCGAAAAAGAAAAGAAAAAUCGAAAGAAAUGGGAAAAACAAAUUUCUGUAAAACUUUUUUUUUUUUUCCAAAAGCAAAGAAAAAGAAAAAAAAUUUAUUUACUUUACUUUUUUCCUAGAACUGCAUCAACACGUGUGUUAUAAAAUAUUUAUUUAAAAGUGUUCAUGAACAAUCCAGUAGAUUUUUAAUCUUAUCAAUAAUGGUACAGUAACAUUGUGACAGAUUUAAUUAAUUGGUUCAUAUAUCAUAUACAUAUAUUAUUAGUGGCACCUUAUAAAUUCGACAACACAUCAAUAAUAAAUAAAACUAUAUUGCGAGUGACCAACAAGACCGUCCCUAGAGCAAAUGACAAAGAGCUUGGUGGUUGGUAUCUGAGACCCAAGUUCGAAUCCUAAUUGAUUCACAUUUUCAGCUAAGUUUAUUUCUAAAUAAAAUAAACAAAGCGGGUAUCUUGCUACCUAAUUUCGUGCAUCAUAAGUUCUAUGUAGUAUCAUAAGCAACGAUGUGUUUGGACAUAGAACUAGCCCUUGGAUUCCUCAUGCUAUCAUUGACUUUAGUGAUGUAGCUUACACUGCUUUUUACUUAACUAAUUAAUAAUUGAUGCAUUCAAACAAGAUCUAUACGUAAUAGUACGAAUUCUUAUUGAGUUACAUUUACGUAGAAUCCUUUUUCUUUUUGGGCUAUAUAAUGAGUUCCUAACAUUUGUAGUUUACUGUAGAUAGAUAUUUAUCAUCUAAAUUCUUGUCACUUUCGAUAGAAUAAGUGUGACGCCCCAACUUCCCAGGGGGUCACCCAUCCUAGGACUACUCCCAUCCUAGCACGCUUAACUCUCUUAACCUCUUGGGCCUUGCCACCACCCAAAAUGCUUAAGCCGGGUUAAGAGUUUAGCCCUAUUAUAUCUUAUAUAUAGGACUACCCGGGGUCUCACAAUCUCCACACAGAACCCCGUAUCGGUUUCCCAAAACCGAUUACCGUGACUCGCCGGAAGUCCCGAGAAUCGCACCGGGACUUCGCCGGGACCCACUAACUGUCCCGGAAGGCACCGACUCAUGCCACGAGUCAUUUGCUGCCACUAAACACUUAUUUUAGUGUGACAAGGCAGCAAACACAAGGAUACACAACCAAACAACUAUUGGUGUAUAAUUGUUGGGAUCCGGGUUCCCGGGAGUGUCUAUUUCGACACUGGAACCCACCGUCGCUCACCCGUCAUUUCUGAACUCUCGAAAUGAUGCGAGUGACCAGCCAAUAAGGCUCAGCGACCACGCAAUAGCUCACGAAGCACCGUCGGAAGAAUUCCGAACUAAAACCGCGUUUCGUCGACAGAUUUUGCCGACAAACGCGCCGGAAAUGCAUUUCCGAUCUUCGUAAAAGUCUGGGGCCUUGGAAAAUCAUUCCAGAGGUCACCCACAGCUCACCCAUGCUGCCAACAGCAGCCACGACACAACAAAUUGCAUAAAAGCCCUCCCGAUUCCAAGAAAUCACAUUAUUUCAUGUGUUUUCCGGGCUUUUAUGGUCCGUCUACGCAAAUUAGAGGUCAAUCAGCCGAGACAAGAUACCCACUUAUAGGUUUCGACGUGCCGGAGGCCGUGCUCACCUUUCGGAGCACUGCCGGCUACUGCGGUGCGCGCACGAGCGACGCGAAGUUCUGUUAAACUGCGCGCACAGCGCGAAGUUCGCGACUAACUCACUAACCAGGGCAUAUUUGCCGCUGUCGGAGGUGAGCACGAUGUUCAGCACGAACCCUAGAUCAUCGUGCUCACUUCUCGAGGUCUCGGGGAGUCAUCGGAUCACCGGGAAGGUGGCCGGAAAGCUUAAAUUGCAAAGCUGGAACUCAAAAACAGCAUACCGGAGCAGUGGGAGCUAGGGUUGGUCGCCGGCGGCCGGGAGGCGGGCACUCCGGCCGGGGAUGGGAGCAGCCGGUCCGAGACGUCCGGGGAGGGUGCUGGCCGGCGGCGGGCGGCAACCGGUGGCGCGGCGGAGGAGAUCCACUCCCCCAACUCCCUCUCGGGUUCAAGCUUCCCGGCGGCGCGGCGGCGGCCGGAGGAGGUCGGGGUGGCUACGGUGCGGCGCCGGAGGCCGAGGGGAAGGCGAUGCACCCCACGGUGGGCGGCGGCGGCGCUUGGAAGCCGAGCGGGGCCGACCUCGGCCCGCACGCGUCUGGGCGGCUGUAGGAGCUUCAGGCGGCGGCCGGCGGUGGUCAAGGACGCCGGGAAACAAGCGCGUGAGGUCGCCGACAGCAAAUGGAGGCGGGGCAGCCCGCCUCGAGGCGGAUGCGGCGCGCGGAUGCAAAUAUCGCCCAGGCUCGGCCUGGGUGAUUGCCGGUGGCCGCAGGGAGCUUGGGCGGCUCCGGCGGCGUGCGCAGGCGAUGGGGCCGGCGGCAGGGGUCGCCGGGGCUCCGGGUAAGGGCGUCUCGGCCGUCCCAAAGUGGCGGCGGCCGUGCUAGCAGGGAGCUAAAGGGGGGCGUCACAAUAAGUUAUGUCAACUCAGAGAUAUAUACUACGGUCAUAGUUUGAAAGCUCUCAAACAGUUUUAGCGCCGACUUUUUAAAGUUUGUGUAAACGUUUUAUUACACAUAUUUGGCUUGAUGCUACAAACAUAGGAUACGUUAAAAAAGAUAAUAGAUAUUGUGUGCGAGGUCGAGAUGGCUGUAGGCGUGGAGGACGAUAUUGAAUGUGGUGAAGUUGCGGUAGACGCGGUGAACGAACACACGGGAGAAGAGGCUAGCAAUAAAAUGCGUAGAAGAUGCUUGGAUGUAAAAUAUUAGAGGGGAGAGAGAGAAAGAGAGACAUAUUGCCAAAAAUAAAAUUUUUGCUUUUAAUUUUAUUCUCUCUCUUAAUAAAGAAUAUUAAAAGGGUUCUAUUUAUAAAAGUCUGAUAAAAUAGAAUCCAGAAUCCUUCUCCGAAUCAAAGCGGCGCUCGUUUAUCUAACCUAACUAAGGUUAGAUAUUUAACUUAUAGUUGUUAUAAUUUUCUAACAAAUAUUGAUAGUGGAGACACUUUUACAAAUUAAUGGCAGAUUUUUUAGAGAAAUAAGUGUAAAAAUAAAAAUUUUGUAGGGAUUAAUCUGGAAAGAUGGUCUUUUGCAGGGAAUUCUAUACAAUUAUCCUCUAUUAUUAGAUAGAAUUAAUGCAGCACUAUCCAAUUUGUCUUUUUUUACAUAUAUCAAACCAAAAGAAGAAGGAGAAAUAUUUGGUUUGUCCAUCUAAUUGUCUAGAAAAUGAAAUCCUGGCUUUGCAUAUAAUUGUGAAAUUUGUAUUGUAUCCAUAUCUGAAAUGUCAAUUUCACCUGUUGUUGGUAAUAGAUUAUGUUCUGCUCAUUAAUAAACAAUUUGAACUUACGCAAUUUGCUUAUGUUCAGCUCGAAUAAGCUCAAAAAUAAAUAAAAAAACAUUAAAGAAUAGUAAUUUUGUUAGGAUGUUGUUAGAUUUGUAAUUGAUUUUUAGUUGGAUUAGAAUUAAUAUUUAAAUCUGAUGGAGAUAAAUUAAGAUUUAAAUAUUAGUUAGAGUAGAAAUUUAAUUAGACUAAUUAACUAGGAUUUGAGUAGCUGUUUUUUUUUUUUUUUGAGAGAUAGGUAGCACGCUACCCGCUUCGUUUAUUUCAUUUAGAAAUAAACUUAGCUAGAAAUGUGAAUCAACUAGGAUUCGAACUUGGGUCUCGAGCUGUUGAUGUAAACUAUAAAUAUAGCACAAGUGGUAUUAUUUUGGUGGCCGUAGUGGUAUGAAUUAGGCAUACUGAGGACAUAGUCAAUGUUGUCAUGAUUUUAUAUGCACCUAGUAUAUAGAUGCAACAGGACGUGUACGGCUUUCGUAGCUGUGGCUCAUUGGUAUAUUUUAUACACGGGUGCACAGAAUGAGAGAAAAGUCUCCUUACUUUAUGGAAGACGAGAGAAGGAUGGGGAAAAGUCAGAAAGAUGACUCGUGUUGAAACUACUCUAUUGUAAAAGAGAAAAGUCAGGUAUAAUCUUCUCUUAUUUAGUAAAUUUUAUUUUACCCGCAUAUUUUUUCUGUUUGAUUUUUUUUCUUUUAUAAUUGUGCCAGCUUUUGCUGAGAAGACAGAUUUGUAAUAAAAAUCCGAUUCGAUACUUUUAUUGUAGAAUCCCAACAAUCGAUACUCGAUCAACAAUAGUCGGUAUCGGAGCGGCUUGCGAAUUCUCAAAAUCUGGUAUCAGAGCGAGUACCGAAUUCUCAACAAAUUCCACCAUGUAAACAAAAACUCGAGUUCUCAUGCUAAUACAAUUCGACAUAAUAAUUUGAGUUUAUCGUUUUUUUAAUUUGACAAAGUUUCGUGCAAAUAAGAAACUCAGUAAUCGCUUUUCUAAGGCAAACUCUUGUUCACAAACAACUCAAGUUAGAUUCAAAUACAAGUAAGCUGGCUCAAGUUUAGCGCGUAGACAAGCGAGUUUAGCUCGAACUUAGUUCAGCUCGCUUAUGUUUGGCUCGUUCACAGUUCUAUCGCAAACUUCGAUCCAAAUUUUCAAUUAUCUUCUUCCGACAAACACAUCGAAUCAAUCAAUUCAUCCAAUUCUUUUUGCAUUUGGAUUUUUAGAUUAUAUAUAUAUAUUUUUUUAAAUAAUAUUUUCUUUUCAGUCAUUUUCGUGCGACAUAUAUAGUUUCUUAGUUAGAUUAGCAUUUGGGGGAUUAAUUAAGGAAUGUUAUGAUAAUCCAUUGACAACUACAACUCAGCUAACUCAAAUCAUGAGAAAUAAUUUAACAAAAAUGUGUAGAUAAAGGCCUUAUCUGGUUAGCUUGUAAUUGUACACGUCAGUCAUAUGAAUUUUUAAGAAAUCAUAAAAGCGAAUAAAAAAAAAAAAGCAAUACUACCUAUACUCCCUGAAGUAUGGUAUACAUCUUAUACAUAUACUAUUCAUAUAUAUUCUUGUAAAAAUAUCAAAUAACAGAUAAAUCCGUGCAAAGUUUAAAUGAUCAUAUUUAUCUAUUCGAAAAUUCUUUGGUUUACAAAUAUAUCCUUCUAAAAAUUCUGGUUCAUUCAUAUAUGUUUCUGCUGUUUAAUUUACCAUUAGUUUUUUAACGGUGCGUGCGUAAAAUGACUAUUUUAUCCUUACAAAUUUAUCCCUAUAAAAAGAUAUCUUUCCUUCUCUCUCUCCUUGCCAUCGUCGCUGCAACCGAAGGCCUCACCGUCGACGUCAACGUCGCCAUGGAUAGAGAGGAGAGGGUGAGAAAGAUGACGGAACUUAACAUUAGAAUACAAAUUAUAUAUAUAUAGAGUAAAAAGAUUAUUUUACUCCUUAUCUAACUAUGAUUAGCUUUUUAUGGUUAUCUAAAUUUUGGUAAUAAAAGGACACAUUUACAGACGGGAGGAUGUUUGGAGGAAAAAAUUUGAUAACUUAAAUAUUGUAAAAAUAUAUUUGCUAUUUAAUAUUUUUGUAAAAAAUCAUAUGCAAUUUUCUCAAUAUUUCGUAUAUCCAACAAAAAUACGUACUAAAACACUCUAAAAACUUAAUUUUUCUUAAAAAUUUAAUAAGAAAGCCCGAACGAAUGUGUGCGGAUAUGCUAGCGAUACGCCAUUGAAAUAGCGGUACAGAUCGUGCGAGUGGCAAGAGACUACAAGAAGAAGAUGAUGAAGAAAACAAGAACAGAAGCUGUGGACAAAAAAAAACACUUAAACAAAAAAUGAAAAAGUUAACCAAAAAGGAAGAUUGAGGACCCACUUAAUUAAUUGGCUGUCUCCUUGAUGCCAACAGCCAUCAUUUGAGUUACAGUUCUCCUUUUUUUUUUUAAAUAGAGCCAAUGAAUGAAAAAGAGAAUUUUGUUUAACAAAUUAAACCAAUUUAUGUAUGGUUUAAAUGAUCAUGUAUGUACUUCAACAGUUCAAGAAGGAUGGAUCAGAGCCCCCUAUGAUUUACUCAUUUAUUUUUUAUUAUUUAUUUAUUUUUCAAUACAUGAUUUAAACAAAAAUUUUAUGGACAUACUUCCCAAACAAUCUUGUUUCGGAAUUGUCCUGAUGGACAUCACAUGGUGAGCUGCGCCCAUCCCAACAGCCCAAAAAAAGUAUUGCUUUUGCUAGAUUAAAAUCCUUUUAGGGUUGGGCGCAGCUCGCCAUGUGACGUCCAUCAGGACACCUUGCCAUGUGCUACAUAUCUCUCAAAAAAAAAAAAAAAAAAUCUUAGGGUUGGGAUGGGCGUCGCUUUUUGCUGGGCGGUUGGGCUGGGGGCAGCUCAUCAUGUGGCGCCCAUCCGAAUAAUCCCCAAACAAGAUUGUUUGAGGAAUAUGUGCAUAAAUUUUUGUCCAACAAACCCUCUCCGAUUUAUUCAAGUAAAGCCGAAGUUUGGGAUUUCACGAUUCGAAGGUUAAAAAUGUCUGUAAGUGUUUUAGGAGCUUUUCUUUUCAAUAUUAUAAGAUGAGUGAAAACUAUCAUCAAAGAACCUGAUGGUUUUUACCACUAUUUUGUAUCAUUAAAGUAGGUAAGAGUUCAUUGUUCAAUUCUUUCGGUUUUUAAUGGAUAAAAGUGGUGUGAUUCGACACUAUAGUCCCAAUUUUAGGACUUUACGGGGUAAGAGCGAUUGAGGGCCGCCUAAUGCUACUGAGUAAAAAUGAGAAAAUUACUUCUCCCUUCUGAUAAUAGACUCUUAACUGACUUAUUGCAAUAUACACGACAUAAUGUUACUUAUGAAAAUAAAUAGAACAUAUAUUUCUUUUGUAUUUUUUCAGCUGCACGUAACACAAAGCCCGGCCGUCGCAAUCCCAAACGAAAUCAAAGAGUUCAAGCUUGACUCUAUCAUUGCAUGAUCCAAAAAUAUGGGCUUAUCCUUGAUUAGCUUUUAAUCCAAAUUGACUACAAGUUGAAUUUAAUUAAAAAGCCAAGUCAAAAUUUUCUUUGUUGAUAAGAUAACAGCUAAUUGGCUACAUCCGUUGUCUCUCUUCAAUCUUAUCAACUAGGAGUUAUUGCAUGCACUCGUUCACGACACGUCUCAUGCAUCACACCGUAUUUUUAAGACCAAUUUGCAUAAAAAAAUCUAUUAAUUUUAAGUUUUUGCAAAAAUAGGUCAUAUUUUUAAAUUUUGCAUAUUCUGAUCGAAUUUCAUAAAAAAUCUACUAUUUUUAAUGCCGUAUCUUAAAAUCAAAAUCCACUCAAGUAGAUGUGAUCUGCAGACUUAAUAAUCAAUGGUGGAGAAAGAACUGUUAUUUGAUUUAUGAGAAAUAAAAAUAAAAAAUUUGUAAUUUUUUGUAGGUAGGCAUUUUAAAUAUCGUAAAAUAUAUUCAAUAAAUUAGAUUUUAUAAAUUAAAAUAUCUUUUAUGAUGUUUUAUAAAGGUUUGGUUUUGGUGCAUGCAAGCAAUAAUUUGCUGUCACGAGAGGAAAUGUAUUUUUCAAAACAACAUAAUCACACUCUAUCUAUAUCUAAAAGCGUAUAGAAAUUUCAAUAAUAACGGACGAAAUCCAAAUAAGAAUAAACGAAUAUUCCCUACAAAUGGUUAUGAUUAAUUUGUUAAAAAUAUCUCAAAUAAAAACGAACGGUUAUGAUUAAUCUAUUAAAUAUAAAAAAAUAUUCCCCUACGAAUGGUUAUGAUUAAUUUGUUAAAAAUAUCUCAAAUAAAAACGAACGGUUAUAACCAAUCUAUUAAAUAUAAAAUAAUAUUCUCUACGAAUGGUUAUGAUUAAUUUGUUAAAAAUAUGUCAAAUAAAAAUGAAUCAAUCUAUUAAAUCUCUAUUUUAUAAUCUACCAUAUUGGAACUAUUUAAAAACCAAAUUUUAUAAUUUUUUAACAUAAUUUACUAAGCAAUCAAAAGGUCCUAAAAAUGACUAUUUUAACGGCCGAUGCGGCACGUUUUUAAGUUCAACGGUAUAGAAAUAUCCAAAUUACAUGAAAAUUUAAUAGAAAAUUCUACUUAACGUCAAUAGCAAGAUCAAUAAUUUCGAUUUGAAAUUUGAGUCCUUUAUCAUUAUUUUUUAUAAGAUUUUUAUUCUCAGCCGUUCAUUUUGAGGCUACUUGUUCAUUAGGCAAAUGAAAUCAAAAAAUUAUGAAAUUUGAUUUCUAGAUAGUUCCAAUAGCGUAGAUCAUGUCUAACGGAACUGAUCGCCAAAUCGGACGUUUCAUCAUCGAAAACAACUUACAAGUAUGGAGGCCCCCGUACUUUCGAAAGUAUAGGAGCCUAUCUCUCUCUCUCUCUCUCUCUCUCUCUCUCNCGUUUUCGAUCUUAGGGUGUUCAAAUCAACGAUCCACACCGUUAAAACUAAUCUAAGGUAUUUAAAGUUUUUAGAAAUAAAAUUUUAUAUUUUUUCGACAUAGUUUACUUUAUGAUCAAACCAUUUCAAAAUUGUGAAUUUUCAAUAGCUACUAUGGCGAGUUUGGAGUUUAACGGUGUAGAAGAAUCUAAAUUUCUUCAAAUUUUGAUAGAAAAUACUUUAAACUAUCUAAAUUAAGGUUAACAUUCUUGAUCUUGAAUUUAAAAGUCCUAUACUCAAAUUUUAAAGAUUAUUCAAUUUCCACCGUCCAUUUUGACAUAAUUUAUUUACUAAGUAAACGAUGUCGAAAAAAAACUAAAAUUUUAUUCCUAAGAAUUUUAUAUACCCUAGAUCAUAUUUAACGGUGUGGAUCAUUAAUUUGAACACCCUAAGAUCGAAAAUAAAACUAUAGUACCAGAGCUCUAGUACUAUAGAUAGUAUAGUAGCCUAAUUCUAUAUAUAUAUAUAAAAUCUAUUCCCUACAGAUAGCUAUUAUCAAUUUGUUAAAAAAAAUCUCAAAUAAGAACAGUUAUGAUCAAUUUAAUAAAAAAUAACAUUCUUAUCCAUCUAUAAAUUCAAUCCUACGAACGAUUAUAAUCAAUUUGUUAAAAAAUAUCUCAAAUAAAAACAAACGGUUAUGAUCAAUUUGUUAAAAAUAGCAUUCCUAUUCAUUUAUUUUACAUUAAAAUUAAAAUUUGAGUUUAAAUUAUGAAUUAAUUUUAAUUUUUGAUAUCAAAUUUGAAUUAACAAUUAAUUUUUUUAUUACAGUAGAUCAAAAUUAAAUUUUAAAUUUUAAAGUAAAUAUGAAUUAAAUUUUGAUGCUUUUAGUUUAAAACACAUAUUUAAAUUUGAUUCAUCAAAAAUCAAAAUUAUAUAAAAAUGUUUGAUGUAUAUAAAAAAAAGGAAAAACUUCAAAAAAAACCCCAUGGUUUCGUAGUUUCUCACUUUGCCCCCCUGUGGUUUAAAAUGUAUCAAUUUGCCCCCCUGUGGUUUCUUUUUUCUCUUUUUCUUAUCAAUUUCAUUAUUUUUUUUUCUUAAAUCAGUGAUAAAGUUAAAAUUAAAGAGUACUAAAGUGAAUAUUUGAUAAAUCUAGAUGGGUAUCUGAAGUUUUUUGUAUAUAAUUUAAUAAAAUAUUAACGAAAAAGCUACCGAAAAGAUAAAAACGAAACCACAGGGGAGCAAUUUGAUACAUUUUAAACCACAGGGGAGCAAAGUGAGAAACUACGAAACCACAGGGGGGGUUUUUGAAGUUUUUCCUAAAAAAAAGAACACUGUAGGAUAUUCUAAAUAUUUUCUAAUAAAAUAUAACAUAUUAAUUUAUAAAUAUAAUUUUUAUUGUAAAAUUUUGGAUAUAUAUAAUGUACAAAUUUAUAUUAAUUUUCAACUAGUGUGUAUAUAUAGAGAGAGAGAGAGAGAGAGAGAGAGAGAGAGAGAGAGCAGGACUACUGUGCUCUUAGAAACAUGGAGGCCUCCGUGCUCCUAAACUGUUUCCGAUGAUAGAAUUUUCGAAUCGACGAUCGGCUCCGUUAGAUAUGAUCUAGCGUAUUUGAAGUUUCUUGAAAAAUAAUUUUUGCGGUUUUUCGAUAUCAUUUACCUAACAAUCGAAAGAAUUUAAUAUCAACGGCUGAAAAUAAAAAUUCUAUAAAAAUAGUGAUGUAGUACUAAAAUUUUCGAUCAGAGAUAUUGAUAAUGUUGUAUAUAGUAUAAAAAAUUUGGUAUCAAAAUUUCAUAUGAUUUGAAUAUUUCUACACCAUUAAAUGAAAACGGUAGACAUCAACCAUUAAAAAUUAUUGAUUUUGAACCCUUUCGAUCACUAGGUAAAUGAUAUCAAAAAAUCGCAAAAAUUAUUUUUUAGAAACUUCAAAUACGCUAAAUCAAGUCUAACAGAGCCGAUCGUCGAUUCGAAAAUUUUAUCAUCAAAAACGGCUUAGGAGCACAGAGGCCUCCGUGCUCCUAAAAGCACAGCAGCCCUGCUCUCUCUCUCUCUCUCUCUCUCUCUCUCUCUCUCUAUAUAUAUAUAUAUAUAGCCUUUGUGUAUUUUUUACUAGUAAGUUAUAACAUUUUGAUGAAAAAUUAUAGGAUUGAAAUGAUAGUAAUCUUCUAGCUAGGGUUUAUAUAUUGAAGUCAAAUUUUUAAUCAUCAAAGCGUGGUACGUACGUAUAAUUAUAAGUCGUUUUGAUAUUCACUUUGCUCUUAUAAAGAUUGGAAUUGAUGAAGAUGAUGAAACUCUUGAGAUUUGGAUUAAUUGUUGGGUAAAAUGAUCAGGGAGUGUAUCUCAAAAUUUUUUAGAUGUUAGAUAAUCCUACGACUUGAAGUAGUUUUCUUUAAAAAUUGUUAAACGAAUCCAUGAGGUCAGUAAUUGAUCAUCGUUUUGCCUCCAUUUAAUAAAGAGAAAACUUUAAAUAACCCCCUUGUGGUUUGGUGGUUUAGUUUGGUACCCUAUGAUUUGAAACGUUUUACUUUUCUACUUUGUGAAUUUACUUUUAUAUCGUUGUUAGGACUUGCCGUCAAGAAGAGUGUUAAAAUAUUAAAAUUUAUAAACUACAGGAUAGUAAAGUGAAAACGCAGCACUAAACCACAAGCGAACUAUUUGAAGUUUUAAAGAAGGAGAAAGCGACGGUGGGAACGAAAAAUGAAAAUAAAAAUUACAGAGCAUUUAGGUGAUACUGUUAAAACCAUAUAUGGUACUAAGGGUGUGUUUGGUUCGCAUUAUGAAAGAUUACUAGGAAUAAAAAAUAUCCGAGAAUCUUAUUCCUAUUUAUCCUAUUACUAAGAAUGUGGAAUUCCUGUGUCUGGUUCGCACGGUAAUAUUAAUUAGCCAUGUUAUUUAAUAUUACAAAAAAUAUACAUUUUAUUUAUUUAUUUAAUUUUAUAUAAUAUUACCAAAAGUUUCAACAUUUUUUUAGAAAAAAGGGAGAGAGAGUAUAAGUUAGAGAGAGAGAGCAUAAUUAAAAAAAUAGAAAGAAAAAUAUAGUCGAAAUUAGAGGGAGUGAGAGAGUUGAAAUUUUAGAAAGAGAGAGAGAGAGAAAGCUUAGUUUAGAGAGAGAAAAAAAAAAGUUGAAUUUUAGGGAGAAAAAUAAGUUUAGAGAGAAAUAUAAGGUUAGAGUGUAAAGAAAAAUAAUAUCAAUUAGCAUGCGGGUAGGAAGAAAGAAAGAUAUUAGACAUUUGUGAUUACCCCAAUCCAUUAAUAUGAGAAUAUCCACCCUCCCUCAAGGGAAUGAGAUUAGUACUUUGGGGUGAAUCUUAUUCCCAAGUGAAUCCGAUAUUACCAACUAGAUUACUUAGUGUGUUUAGCCAAACACCGUCAUAUUUUUUUAUUCCCAUUGGAUUAGUAGGAAUCUUUAAAAGAUAGCGCGAACCAAACGCACCCUAAAGGAAAAGUGCGGUAAACCAUAAGAAGGGCAUCUAAAGCUGUGAAAGAUAUUUCACCAUCCCGUCGACAUAGCCAAGUAGAUGAUAGCUAGUUAGCAAAGGAAGAAAUUGACUCCAUCAUGGCAAUUAAUUCUCAUCAAUAAGUUUGAUAGGAAUUGUAUUAGUUAAUCUUGGAAGAGUUGUUACCAAGGACGUGGAAUCAACAGUAGUGGGAUUUUCUUUGGUGUGAAGUGGUGAGGUUAUGUUGAAGUUGCGUACAGUGGAAGGAACUAAAGUAAAGAAAAAUAUAAAGAUGGAGAUGUUGGAUGUGGCCCACGUGAUUUAUUCAAGAUAAUAUAUAAAAAUACGAUCAGUCUAUUCAAGUCGAUCUAUAAAGAUACGGUAAAUCUAACGGUUAGGAUCAAUGUAUCUGGACAUAUUCUUGAUAGACGGACGUGAUUUAACAUCCUUACAUCAAGUUAUAUAUCAUACGGGAGCCUCGAUGUAAUCCUAAUCUAAUUUUCUGUGACGGCUCUAUCUCGGGGGACAAGAAAAUUAGACUCGAAACGUCUCACUCUCUUACAAAUAGCAAACGAGGACGAACCACGAGUAAGAACCGUCGUCUACAAUCCGGAUAUUGAAAUCGAAAUUAUGGCAAAAUGUACGAUCUUAGUUUCUAAUGAAAGUUCAACAGGAGAUGUGGGUGUGAAAGGAGGAGAAAAAAAUAAAUAUAUGGGCACUCUCAAUUAAUGAUCUCUAAUGAAUUCACUCAGAAUUCAUGUUAAAAAUAUACAAAAAUACAAAUUAUUGUUGUUACAUUCAAAACUGAAGUGAAUAAGAAUGAAUCAAUGAGAUUGAGAUGUUUCUUCAUUCAAGCAGAAUAAUCUUAUCCUUAUCCAUUAUAUAUAUAUAUUUCACAAGCAACUCAUCAGCUCUGCAGCAAAGCGUAGGCAUUUGUUAGUGCCUAUUGAAGAUGAGGUAUUUUUGUAAUUUUCAUAAUUUUUCUAGAUGUUAUAAUAAAAAGAGUUUCUAACUACAAAACACCAAAGACCAAAUAUGUGCCCUAACUUGGGUCUGGUUGUUUCUGUCACUGCAUGUGGUCCGUAUAUAACAGGUUGGUGCCAAACAAUUUAACAAGAGGACAUGUUAGUUGUAUUUUCUAUCACAGGUUUUCUCCCCUACAUAUAUUAUCUAUUUCUCUCCUCUUUCCUGAAUCUUCUCUCUUCUACUGUGCUUAUUUAUGCAUGUUAGACUCUAUUUGAAAUUGCAGAAAGGUUACAUUAAUUAUGUUUGGUAAAAAUAUACGUAGAAUGAAAUGAUAGUCUAAUUGUUUGUAUAAAUAAUAUCAUGUUCUGCAUCUCGCAAUAAUUAAGACUGUUAUGAAAUAACUUUUGCGGUCCCACUGAAAAACGAUAAAAUAAUGACUCUUUUUCGGCAUAUAAUGUUAGAUAGCUUUUGAUACUAAAGAAUCUUAUUUUGAUGCAUGAUUUUUUUGUUCGAUAUAUCUUAUUAAUUUGUCCAAAAAACUUAGGACAUAUUUGAUUUGAAGGAUUUGAGGUUUAAAAUGUGAAUAUGAAUGAUUAAUUUUCAUUAUUAGUUUUUGGUUUGAGGGCCAUGGAGGUGGAAAUCUAUUUUGAUUUCAGAUGGGAUUGAGAAAAGAAAUUUCUUUUUUUCUAUAGCAAUCAUUUAACUUCAAACAUUAAUAUAAAUUUAAUUUUAAAUUAUAUAAUUUUAUAUUUGAAUUUGAAUUAUGGAUUCAAAUUUUAAUUUUACAUUUCUUGAGUUCAAGUUUAAUUUUAAUAUACGUUGGAUAUUUAAAUUUAGUUCUAAAUAUAAAUUUUAACUUUGAUAAGUUCAAAUUGUGAGUUCAAAUUUGAUUAUGAAUUUGAAUAGCAAAUUCAAAUUUUAAUUAAAAUUUAACUUUCUAAAAUUUUAAUUCGAACAAGAUUUUGAUUUCUUUACGAACCAAAUAAAUUAGAGUUUUUAUUGUUCCGCUUUCCAUUCUAAUUCAUUCUCAUUCCUAUUCUGAUUUAGACUUCCAUUCUGAACCAAACAAGCCCUAACAGUAUUCAAAAGAUGAAGAUUGUGAUCAAAUGUUCAGCAUGGAAUACUACGUUAGAAAAAUUAUUCGCUUAAAUCAUGAAUAUUAAAACCUUCCAACGAAUAAAAGUCAAACUCCAUACUUCCAAUCACAUAAAAAAAUUCUCAUAUCUAAUAAAUUAUGAUUAAAUAACUUAUUUUAACAUCCAAAUAGAGCUGUAGUUUUCUUAUGUUUUUAACAAUCCAAAACAUUUGAAAUCAAUUGGAAGUUAUAUAAUAUGAGAAUCCUCCAUUUCUUCUAAAUAUUCAAAAUUGCCUCACUAUGCAUGCAAUUUUCUUGUGCGAUGGUAAGUAAAGUGUUUAAUUCUUUGCUUAUUGAAAGGUUUUGAUAUCCAUAAUUCGGCAAAAUAAAUUAUUUAAUUAGUAAUGUCCUAUUCAAUAGGAGCAUGUUCUUUUAUGGUUAGAAGAUAGGAAUGUGGUCAAAUGGAAUAGCAUAUUCCAAAUUGAAUAUGCCAUCCUAUCAAGUUUUAUAUGAAUGUUAAGACUUGUUAGAGAGCUACAAUCAAAUCAACUAUCUUCUAGUUUACACAAGAAAUUAUCAUCAUGUGGAUCCUUUCCUUAAAAAGGACUUGCAAGUCAAUUGUAGUACUUCAUUAGAAACAUCUAACCAUAUUUCGCCUUUACCAAUGUGACACUCCACUUUCCAAAAGGUCCUUCAUCUUAGAAUUACUUCAGCCUUAGCACGCAUAACUCUUUUAACCUCUUGAACUGUGGUACUGCGUAAAAUGCUAUAGCCAUGUGAGGUUCAGUCCUAAUAUAUCUUAUAAAUAGAAUUGCUCUAAAUUUUAGUGUCAAAUUCUCUGCCGCUGUAACAUAUGAUAUCUUUGUCAGCUCAGGUACGCUCACAAGUACCAAACAAUAUGAAAAUCAACUUUGUAGCCUUAGCCGACCUUGGGAGAAGUCGCACUUUACCCACAACGACCGUGAGCUGAGGAGUUUAAUCCUCUUAACCUCUUGGGUCUGAUCACCAUGUAAAAUGUUAUAGUCUAGAUAAAAAAGUUUAGUGGUGUAUAAUACUAUUCAAAUUAUAAAGAUGUCACAACUAAAUAGUAAAAAAAAUUCAAAUAAAUUAAAAAAAGCUAAAUUACAAAAACCCUCUUAUAAAUAUCUAAUUUUUUAUUUUUUCUUUCUAACUUUCAAAAACUUAUAUUUUUCCUUCUCAACAUCUCAAGUUGUUACCGACCGUCCCUAGAGCAAGUGGCAAAGGACUUUGUGAUUGGUACCCGAGACUCAAGUUCGAAUCCUAGUUGAUUCAUAUUUCUAGCUAAGUUUAUUUCUAAAUGAAAUAAACGAAACGGGUAGCGUACUACCUAUCUCUCAAAAAAAAAAAAAAAAAAAAAAUCUCAAGUUGUUGCAUCUACCCCCUUCGUCAAGAUUUCAUCACUGUUCUAUCCAUUUCAUAUAAUUUAUACAGAAAAUCUGAUAUAAUAAGUAUUUGUUUUUUUUUUAUUUUUUGACUUUCAGAAAUUCAUAUUUUGGCUUCUUAAAAUUUUUAAAAUAUUUUCAGAAAAUUAUGAUCUGAAUGAAAAAGGUGAAAUGAUCAAAUUGUCCUUAUUUGUUCUAGAGUGAAAAAUUUUUAAUCUAUUUUUAUUAGUCUAAGAGAUAUUUUUUGUAUAAAUUAUAUGAAGUAGACGAAACAGUAAUGAAAUCCUGAAGGAAGUGGACUAAGUGCAUCAAUUUGAAUUUUUGAGGGAGUGAAACAUAGGAUUUUGAAAAUCGGGUGGCUAGGAGGAAGUGAAAAAAAAAGAUAUUUAGGAAGUUCUUUAUAUUUUAGCUUUAUUUUAGAUAGAAACUAGCUUUUCACCCGUGGGAUGCACGGCUAAUAUAAUAAUAUAAAAUAAUAAAAGUUAUUACGUGAUGAUAAAAAAAAUAUUCUAAUUAAUUUUAUAUNUUCUAAUUUUUUUUUUAAGGUUCGCUUCUCGAUCCUUCUCCCAAACCCUAAUACUCGUUUUUUUUCGAAUUAAACGCGAUUUUACUCCAUUUUUUGGGGGAUUUGAAUUUGUAGGCGGAGGCGAGAGAGAGAUGGAGAACUCGGCUUCGGAGAAGAGCAUCUUCAUCGAGAGCGACGACGAUGACCACGUGGCGGACGCGGAGGAGGGGACGGCGACGGCGGAGGAGGGCCGUGCGAUGGGGGACGGCGACGAAUCGGACGGCGAGGAUUCUUCUUCUUCGUCGUCGUCCUCGUCGUCGUCGUCGUCUCCGGCGGAGAGCCCCCGCCGGAGUAGGCCGAGCUCGUACACCUCGCACCAGUGGCCGCAGAGCUACAGGUACGCUCCGCCCCAUCUCGCCGCUCCGUUCCGAAUCCAACGGCUCUGAUUCGAUCUCGAUCUCCAUCGCGAGCGAGCGUGGCGAUUCGACGCCGUGCGCGUCGGAGUCGUUAUUGAAGUCGGUGGCUACGAUGGAUUCGGCGCCGAUUUUCUAUUUUGAGAAUAAUACAUCGCCGAUUUUGGACCCGUGUUUUACGGCGUAUUAAGUAAUUAUUUUUGCCCCCUCGUGGUUUCGCUGUUUACAGCUCAAGCUGACGUGGAAAAUCCUUAAUUUUAGCCAAUAUUAGAUGUUAUUUAAUUUAGUAUUUUCUUCGGUUACAAUUUACGUAAACUCCCUCAAGUACAUCCCUUUUUUAGAUAGGUCUCUCAGAUUUUUUUAAAAAAAAAAAAUCGGCGUUUGUUUAAUUAAAGUUUAAAAAAUUUCUAAAUUUAAUUAUAAUUGCUCUAUAUUUAUUUAUUUACUAAUUAAUUAAAAACAUUGAAGGUUAUUAAAUUUUGUAAAAUUAGGAAAGUUUAAAAUAUUUGAAAUAUAAAAUAAAAUAGAUUAAAAUUUAAGGAAUGUUAAUAAAAAGUAAGUUGAGAGGACAUUUCAAAUGGUUUUUUUUCCCUCUCUAAAAAGCAAGAGAUGGAAAUCCAAUCUCUUAUUAGUUGACAUUUCGAUAAAUAAUAGAAUAUAUAUAAUAUAUAUAUAUAUAUAUAUAUAUAUAUAUAUAUAUAUAUAUUACUAGUAAAAUGUACGUGCAAUAGCACGUAAUAAUAUUAGAAAAAGUUAUAAUUUUUUAAAAUUAUUUUUAAUUUAGGCCAUAUUUUAUAUGAUUGCCAAAUAUGUAUUUAAAAAAUUUAAAAUAAUAAAUCACGCUAUUAAAAAAAUAUGCUUUAAUGAUAAAUAAUUAAUAAUAAUCUCUAAUGCAAAAAUUACUUUUGAAAUUAAAUAGAAAAUAAAAUAUGUUAGAAAUAAAUUUUUGAAAUUAAUAGAAAAAUAAAAUCCGUUAUCUUAAAAAGAAAAUAUAUUUUGAAAUUAAAUAGAUAAAUCUAAAAAAGAUAUUUAAAAUAAAAUAAAAAAAUCUCUUUUAUAAGAUUUUCAUAUCCGUAAUCUGUUAUAGAAAACUUACUUUUGAAUUAAAUAGAAAAAUUAUAUUUUAAGAUUUUCACAUCAGUAAUCUGUUAUAGAGAACUUAUUUUUCCCGCCGAAAAAUGGCCCCUAAUUUUUCCGCCGAAAAAUGGGCUGUCGACAGACCCAAAUUUAUAUACGGCUUUUUAUAUAUAUAUAUAUAUUAUAUAUAUAUAUAUAUAUACUAUAUAAAUAUAAUAUAUAUAUAUAUAUAUAUUAUUUUCAUUUAUCCAAAUAUAUAUUUCUGAACCCUUCAGACCCAUACUUAAUCAAUUAUUAAAUAACAAUAAUUUCAGUUCCUGAUCUUUUUGCGAACAUUUGGCCUACCAUCGCACACAGAAAAAUUCUGUACACAAGCUUUCCCACAACCCAUAUGAGAUAGGCACAAUCUGAUCUGAACCGUCCUUUUUUUUUUUCUUAUCUCAAAUAAGCGGCGUGAUUGCCCCAUACGCUAGUUUUUCUUACAUACACUUUUAUAGAAAAAUCAAGCUCAAAAAUAAUUCAGAAUUAGUUUUAACAUUUGGAAUAUCAUUACCAACCGUCUCUAGAACAAGUGGCAAAAAAUUUGACGGUUGGUACCCGAGAUCCAAAGUUCGAAUCCUAGUUAAUUUACAUUUCCAGCUAAGAUUAUUUCUAAAUAAAAUAAAUGAAACGAGUAGUGUGCUACCUAUCUUUUUUAAAAAAAAAAAACAUUUGGAAUAUCAUUAUUGCUGGAUUUGUGAGUUUUAUAUA
Molecule: long non-coding RNA, 23694 nt
Filed under: Ananas comosus (pineapple)
Lineage: Eukaryota; Viridiplantae; Streptophyta; Magnoliopsida; Poales; Bromeliaceae
Description: long non-coding RNA (ACOM_LNC004916)
Source: RNAcentral